CCUACGGGUGGCAGCAGUGAGGAAUAUUGGUCAAUGGGCGAGAGCCUGAACCAGCCAAGUCGCGUGAGGGAGUACUGCCCUAUGGGUUGUAAACCUCUUUUGUCGGGGAGCAAAAGCCGGACGUGUCCGGCUGUGAGAGUACCCGAAGAAAAAGCAUCGGCUAACUCCGUGCCAGCAGCCGCGGUAAUACCGAGGAUGCGAGCGUUAUCCGGGUUUAUUGGGUUUAAAGGGUGCGCAGGGGGAUUUUUAAGUCAGCGGUAAAAUCGUGGGGCUCAACCCCAUCCAGCCGUUGAAACUGGGGAUCUAGAGUGUGCGAGAGGUAUGCGGAAUGCGUGGUGUAGCGGUGAAAUGCAUAGAUAUCACGCAGAACCCCGAUUGCGAAGGCAGCAUACCGGUGCACAACUGACGCUCAGGCACGAAAGCGUGGGUAUCGAACAGGAUUAGAUACCCGAGUAGUC
Molecule: ribosomal RNA, 458 nt
Filed under: uncultured bacterium
Lineage: Bacteria
Description: partial 16S ribosomal RNA
Rfam family: Bacterial small subunit ribosomal RNA
Source: RNAcentral